CUCAGCUGGAUAGAGUACUCGGCUACGAACCGAGCGGU
Molecule: ribosomal RNA, 38 nt
Filed under: Escherichia coli 5-172-05_S3_C3
Lineage: Bacteria; Pseudomonadati; Pseudomonadota; Gammaproteobacteria; Enterobacterales; Enterobacteriaceae
Description: partial 23S ribosomal RNA
Source: RNAcentral